Molecule: ribosomal RNA, 876 nt
Filed under: uncultured marine bacterium
Lineage: Bacteria
Description: bacterial SSU rRNA
Rfam family: Bacterial small subunit ribosomal RNA
Source: RNAcentral
AGUCGAGCGAGAAAUUUUCUUCGGAAAAGAGUAAAGCGGCGGACGGGUGAGUAACGCGUAGGAAUCUACCUAGUAGUGGGGGACAACAUGUGGAAACGCAUGCUAAUACCGCAUACGCCCUAUGGGGGAAAGCAGGGGAUCUUCGGACCUUGUGCUAUUAGAUGAGCCUGCGUCGGAUUAGUUUGUUGGCAGGGUAAUGGCCUACCAAGACUACGAUCCGUAGCUGGUCUGAGAGGAUGAUCAGCCACACUGGGACUGAGACACGGCCCAGACUCCUACGGGAGGCAGCAGUGGGGAAUAUUGGACAAUGGGCGCAAGCCUGAUCCAGCCAUGCCGCGUGUGUGAAGAAGGCUCUAGGGUUGUAAAGCACUUUCAGUAGGGAGGAAAAGUUAGUAGUUAAUAACUGCUAGCCCUGACGUUACCUACAGAAGAAGCACCGGCAAACUCCGUGCCAGCAGCCGCGGUAAUACGGAGGGUGCGAGCGUUAAUCGGAAUUACUGGGCGUAAAGCGCGCGUAGGCGGUUUGAUAAGCUGGAUGUGAAAGCCCCGGGCUCAACCUGGGAACUGCAUCCAGAACUGUCUGACUAGAAUACAAUAGAGGUGAGUGGAAUUUCCUGUGUAGCGGUGAAAUGCGUAGAUAUAGGAAGGAACAUCAGUGGCGAAGGCGACUCACUGGAUUGAUAUUGACGCUAAGGUGCGAAAGCGUGGGGAGCGAACAGGAUUAGAUACCCUGGUAGUCCACGCCGUAAACGAUGUCUACUAGCCGUUGGGAUCCUUGAGGUCUUAGUGGCGCAGCUAACGCAAUAAGUAGACCGCCUGGGGAGUACGGCCGCAAGGUUAAAACUCAAAUGAAUUGACGGGGGCCCGCACAAGCGG